Molecule: ribosomal RNA, 352 nt
Filed under: uncultured bacterium
Lineage: Bacteria
Description: partial 16S ribosomal RNA
Rfam family: Bacterial small subunit ribosomal RNA
Source: RNAcentral
CCUACGGGAGGCAGCAGUAGGGAAUAUUGCUCAAUGGGGAAACCCUGAAGCAGCAACGCCGCGUGGAGGAUGAAGGUUUUCGGAUUGUAUACUCCUCUUGUUAGAGAAGAUAAUGACGGUAUCUAACGAAUAAGCACCGGCUAACUCCGUGCAAGCAGCCGCGGUAAUACGGAGGGCGGCAGCGUUACUCGGAAUCACUGGGCGUAAAGAGCGCGUAGGCGGGAUAGCAAGUCAGAUGUGAAAUCCUAUGGCUUAACCAUAGAACUGCAUUUGACACUGGUAUUCUAGGGUAUGGGAGAGGUAGGUGAAAGUCUUGGGGUAGGGGUAAAUGCAGAAGAGAUAAAGAGGAAUA